Molecule: ribosomal RNA, 1432 nt
Filed under: Pantoea dispersa
Lineage: Bacteria; Pseudomonadati; Pseudomonadota; Gammaproteobacteria; Enterobacterales; Erwiniaceae
Description: bacterial SSU rRNA
Rfam family: Bacterial small subunit ribosomal RNA
Source: RNAcentral
CGGGCCUAACCAUGCAGUCGAACGGCAGCACAGAAGAGCUUGCUCUUUGGGUGGCGAGUGGCGGACGGGUGAGUAAUGUCUGGGAAACUGCCCGAUGGAGGGGGAUAACUACUGGAAACGGUAGCUAAUACCGCAUAACGUCGCAAGACCAAAGUGGGGGACCUUCGGGCCUCACACCAUCGGAUGUGCCCAGAUGGGAUUAGCUAGUAGGUGGGGUAAUGGCUCACCUAGGCGACGAUCCCUAGCUGGUCUGAGAGGAUGACCAGCCACACUGGAACUGAGACACGGUCCAGACUCCUACGGGAGGCAGCAGUGGGGAAUAUUGCACAAUGGGCGCAAGCCUGAUGCAGCCAUGCCGCGUGUAUGAAGAAGGCCUUCGGGUUGUAAAGUACUUUCAGCGGGGAGGAAGGCGGUGAGGUUAAUAACCUUGCCGAUUGACGUUACCCGCAGAAAGAAGCACCGGCUAACUCCGUGCCAGCAGCCGCGGUAAUACGGAGGGUGCAAGCGUUAAUCGGAAUUACUGGGCGUAAAGCGCACGCAGGCGGUCUGUUAAGUCAGAUGUGAAAUCCCCGGGCUUAACCUGGGAACUGCAUUUGAAACUGGCAGGCUUGAGUCUCGUAGAGGGGGGUAGAAUUCCAGGUGUAGCGGUGAAAUGCGUAGAGAUCUGGAGGAAUACCGGUGGCGAAGGCGGCCCCCUGGACGAAGACUGACGCUCAGGUGCGAAAGCGUGGGGAGCAAACAGGAUUAGAUACCCUGGUAGUCCACGCCGUAAACGAUGUCGACUUGGAGGUUGUGCCCUUGAGGCGUGGCUUCCGGAGCUAACGCGUUAAGUCGACCGCCUGGGGAGUACGGCCGCAAGGUUAAAACUCAAAUGAAUUGACGGGGGCCCGCACAAGCGGUGGAGCAUGUGGUUUAAUUCGAUGCAACGCGAAGAACCUUACCUGGCCCUUGACAUCCAGAGAACUUAGCAGAGAUGCUUUGGUGCCCUUCGGGAACUCUGAGACAGGUGCUGCAUGGCCUGUCGUCAGCUCGUGUUGUGAAAUGUUGGGUUAAGUCCCGCAACGAGCGCAACCCUUAUCCUUUGUUGCCAGCGGUUCGGCCGGGAACUCAAAGGAGACUGCCGGUGAUAAACCGGAGGAAGGUGGGGAUGACGUCAAGUCAUCAUGGCCCUUACGGCCAGGGCUACACACGUGCUACAAUGGCGCAUACAAAGAGAAGCGACCUCGCGAGAGCAAGCGGACCUCAUAAAGUGCGUCGUAGUCCGGAUUGGAGUCUGCAACUCGACUCCAUGAAGUCGGAAUCGCUAGUAAUCGUAGAUCAGAAUGCUACGGUGAAUACGUUCCCGGGCCUUGUACACACCGCCCGUCACACCAUGGGAGUGGGUUGCAAAAGAAGUAGGUAGCUUAACCUUCGGGAGGGCGCUUACCCACUU